Molecule: ribosomal RNA, 447 nt
Filed under: uncultured bacterium
Lineage: Bacteria
Description: bacterial SSU rRNA
Rfam family: Bacterial small subunit ribosomal RNA
Source: RNAcentral
UUCCAGACUCCUACGGGAGGCAGCAGUCGGGAAUAUUGCGCAAUGGAGGAAACUCUGACGCAGUGACGCCGCGUAUAGGAAGAAGGUUUUCGGAUUGUAAACUAUUGUCGUUAGGGAAGAUAAAAGACUGUACCUAAGGAGGAAGCCCCGGCUAACUACGUGCCAGCAGCCGCGGUAAUACGUAGGUGGCAAGCGUUGUCCGGAAUUACUGGGUGUAAAGGGAGCGUAGGCGGGAAGCCAAGUCAGCUGUGAAAACUACGGGCUUAACCUGUAGACUGCAGUUGAAACUGGCUUCCUUGAGUGAAGUAGAGGUUGGCGGAAUUCCGAGUGUAGCGGUGAAAUGCGUAGAUAUUCGGAGGAACACCGGUGGCGAAGGCGGCCAACUGGGCUUUAACUGACGCUGAGGCUCGAAAGUGUGGGGAGCAAACAGGAUUAGAUACCCUAGUA